This 161-nucleotide ribosomal RNA is filed under the name uncultured bacterium. RNAcentral describes it as "partial 16S rRNA". It matches the Rfam family "Bacterial small subunit ribosomal RNA", at positions 358 to 511 of the family's 1533-position model. The record is from RNAcentral.
GGAAUCUUCCACAAUGGACGAAAGUCUGAUGGAGCAACGCCGCGUGAGUGAUGAAGGGUUUCGGCUCGUAAAACACUGUUGUAAGAGAAGAAUGACAUUGAGAGUAACUGUUCAAUGUGUGACGGUAUCUUACCAGAAAGGAACGGCUAAAUACGUGCCAG